Pimephales promelas (fathead minnow) is the source of this 465-nucleotide long non-coding RNA. RefSeq lists it as uncharacterized. Lineage: Eukaryota; Metazoa; Chordata; Actinopteri; Cypriniformes; Leuciscidae. The record is from RefSeq and is a predicted model, not a curated record.
GCCUGGAGAUAGAAGACGGUCUUUAGAGUUGCGUUUCUGCAUAUCUGCAGGUCUAGUGGAUCUGUCUUUAACUCUAGAGGGCAGUGUUAUCUCAUUCAAUGACAGAAUCCUAAAAGAUUAGCACUACAUGGUCAUUUCAAUCAAUCAUAUGGAUCUCAUUUGGCAUCCAAGAAAAUACCCCAUGUCAAUUCCAAUUGUUAAUAUUUAUUUAAGCUUGUUUCUAUCUCUUCUAGCAGAUUAAAUGUGUACCAGAUGUACAUCAUGAAGAUACUUCAGCACCAAAAGUCUUUCAGAGAGGCCACAACACACUUCUGCACUUCUGUCUUCUGCGCGUUUAAAAAUGUGCGGCAUUAUGCAAUCUACAAAGUCAUAACAGACGUCAAAACAUCACAUGAAUGAAGAAAGUGACAUUCACUUACAGCCAGUUGCUCGCGUUGGCGGAGAAGAGUGCUAGAAAGAGCAUAA